Arachis ipaensis is the source of this 128-nucleotide non-coding RNA. The record is from RefSeq and is a predicted model, not a curated record. NCBI's taxonomy places the organism in Eukaryota, Viridiplantae, Streptophyta, Magnoliopsida, Fabales, Fabaceae.
GAUUGUAUCUAUAUACAAAGAUAGCCCCAAGAAUUAUCAGUGCAAAUAAACCACAACUUGCAAAAGCAACAAUCUUUACAAGUUUUGGUUUGUUGGUUGAACCUGCAAUAAAUGCAUGGUGGCAACUC